RNAcentral lists this ribosomal RNA (690 nucleotides) under uncultured Acidobacteriota bacterium. Its description in RNAcentral is "bacterial SSU rRNA". It matches the Rfam family "Bacterial small subunit ribosomal RNA", at positions 15 to 687 of the family's 1533-position model. The record is from RNAcentral. Lineage: Bacteria; Pseudomonadati; Acidobacteriota.
GAUCCUGGCUCAGAAUCAACGCUGGCGGCGUGCCUAACACAUGCAAGUCGAGCGCGAAAGGGGAGCAAUCCCCGAGUAGAGCGGCAGACGGGUGAGUAACGCGUGGGUGAUCUGCCUUCGAGUGGGGAAUAACACCGGGAAACUGGUGCUAAUACCGCAUGACAUCGUCGAUUCAUUUCGACGAUCAAAGCCGGGGACCGCAAGGCCUGGCGCUUGAAGAGGAGCCCGCGUCCGAUUAGCUAGUUGGCGGGGUAACGGCCCACCAAGGCUUCGAUCGGUAGCCGGCCUGAGAGGGCGGACGGCCACACUGGGACUGAGACACGGCCCAGACUCCUACGGGAGGCAGCAGUGGGGAAUUUUUCGCAAUGGGGGAAACCCUGACGAAGCAACGCCGCGUGGAGGAUGAAGGCCUUCGGGUCGUAAACUCCUGUCGACCGGGACGAACGUAGCGGGAGCUAAUAUCUCCUGCUAUCGACUGUACCGGUGGAGGAAGCCACGGCUAACUCUGUGCCAGCAGCCGCGGUAAUACAGAGGUGGCAAGCGUUGUUCGGAAUUACUGGGCGUAAAGGGCGCGUAGGCGGUCUUGUAAGUCCUGUGUGAAAUCCCCCGGCUCAACUGGGGAACUGCACAGGAGACUGCUUGACUUGAGUUCGGGAGAGGGAAGCGGAAUUCCGGGUGUAGCGGUGAAAU